CUUUCAUUAAUUUCUUCACCUCGAUUCCCAUGUGGUAAUUCCUAAGGCCUAGUUUAAAGAUGGGUUGAUACUCUACAGUGGCAGAGAGGAGAAUUUCUAAUUGUUUCUGUUCUGCAUUAUGGAUUCAUUUCUGUACUCACUUCCUCAAUGUACAACUAAGGUGACAGUUAUAUAAAAUCAUACACAAUAAAAUCAGGACUAUAAUAACAAAAGGAUAGAAGAAUGAUUUCAUUAUCUGGGAUCCAGUAGG
Pelobates cultripes (western spadefoot toad) is the source of this 250-nucleotide non-coding RNA. Lineage: Eukaryota; Metazoa; Chordata; Amphibia; Anura; Pelobatidae. The record is from the annotation of a GenBank genome assembly.